This 1777-nucleotide ribosomal RNA is filed under the name Pseudomonas fluorescens. RNAcentral's name for it is "bacterial SSU rRNA". The stretch from base 1 to 1515 matches the Rfam family "Bacterial small subunit ribosomal RNA". The record is from RNAcentral. Lineage: Bacteria; Pseudomonadati; Pseudomonadota; Gammaproteobacteria; Pseudomonadales; Pseudomonadaceae.
AGUUUGGUACAGGCUCAGAUUAACGCUGGCGGCAGGCCUAACACAUGCAAGUCGAGCGGUAGAGAGAAGCUUGCUUCUCUUGAGAGCGGCGGACGGGUGAGUAAUGCCUAGGAAUCUGCCUGGUAGUGGGGGAUAACGUUCGGAAACGGACGCUAAUACUGCAUACGUCCUACGGGAGAAAGCAGGGGACCUUCGGGCCUUGCGCUAUCAGAUGAGCCUAGGUCGGAUUAGCUAGUUGGUGAGGUAAUGGCUCACCAAGGCGACGAUCCGUAACUGGUCUGAGAGGAUGAUCAGUCACACUGGAACUGAGACACGGUCCAGAUUCCUACGGGAGGCAGCAGUGGGGAAUAUUGGACAAUGGGCGAAAGCCUGAUCCAGCCAUGCCGCGUGUGUGAAGAAGGUCUUCGGAUUGUAAAGCACUUUAAGUUGGGAGGAAGGGUUGUAGAUUAAUACUCUGCAAUUUUGACGUUACCGACAGAAUAAGCACCGGCUAACUCUGUGCCAGCAGCCGCGGUAAUACAGAGGGUGCAAGCGUUAAUCGGAAUUACUGGGCGUAAAGCGCGCGUAGGUGGUUUGUUAAGUUGGAUGUGAAAUCCCCGGGUUCAACCUGGGAACUGCAUUCAAAACUGACUGACUAGAGUAUGGUAGAGGGUGGUGGAAUUUCCUGUGUAGCGGUGAAAUGCGUAGAUAUAGGAAGGAACACCAGUGGGGAAGGCGACCACCUGGAUUAAUACUGACACUGAGGUGCGAAAGCGUGGGGAGCAAACAGGAUUAGAUACCCUGGUAGUCCACGCCGUAAACGAUGUCAACUAGCCGUUGGAAGCCUUGAGCUUUUAGUGGCGCAGCUAACGCAUUAAGUUGACCGCCUGGGGAGUACGGCCGCAAGGUUAAAACUCAAAUGAAUUGACGGGGGCCCGCACAAGCGGUGGAACAUGUGGUUUAAUUCCAAGCAACGCGAAAAACCUUACCAGGCCUUGACAUCCAAUGAACUUUCUAGAGAUAGAUUGGUGCCUUCGGGAACAUUGAGACAGGUGCUGCAUGGCUGUCGUCAGCUCGUGUCGUGAGAUGUUGGGUUAAGUCCCGUAACGAGCGCAACCCUUGUCCUUAGUUACCAGCACGUUAUGGUGGGCACUCUAAGGAGACUGCCGGUGACAAACCGGAGGAAGGUGGGGAUGACGUCAAGUCAUCAUGGCCCUUACGGCCUGGGCUACACACGUGCUACAAUGGUCGGUACAGAGGGUUGCCAAGCCGCGAGGUGGAGCUAAUCCCAUAAAACCGAUCGUAGUCCGGAUCGCAGUCUGCAACUCGACUGCGUGAAGUCGGAAUCGCUAGUAAUCGCGAAUCAGAAUGUCGCGGUGAAUACGUUCCCGGGCCUUGUACACACCGCCCGUCACACCAUGGGAGUGGGUUGCACCAGAAGUAGCUAGUCUAACCUUCGGGAGGACGGUUACCACGGUGUGAUUCAUGACUGGGGUGAAGUCGUAAGGGUUACGAAAAAGGUAGGUCCCCAAUUGUGUCUGAACACGCUGGUGCAUGAAUUACUUAGGGAGUCUGAUGCAUUGGGGUCUCUUGCCAUUCUCCCGCAUUUCUCCGUUCCCGGACAACACUCUCGCCCAUCUCAGUUCUACUAGCAUGUGUUCACAUGGCGGUCCCAGGGUGUCCACACAGGAUAUUACAACAGAAAAUAACAAAGCCUCCGUCCGGGCGGUUUUACCAUAUAGAUUUCAUAUAAAUGAUUCUGCCACGAAGCUUUAACCUGGCGCUGGGAGUGAAAAAU